Molecule: ribosomal RNA, 253 nt
Filed under: uncultured bacterium
Lineage: Bacteria
Description: partial 16S ribosomal RNA
Rfam family: Bacterial small subunit ribosomal RNA
Source: RNAcentral
UACGUAGGGUGCAAGCGUUGUCCGGAAUUAUUGGGCGUAAAGAGCUCGUAGGCGGUUCGUCGCGUCGGCUGUGAAAACCCGGAGCUCAACUCCGGGCCUGCAGUCGAUACGGGCGGACUCGAGUUCGGCAGGGGAGACUGGAACUCCUGGUGUAGCGGUGAAAUGCGCAGAUAUCAGGAGGAACACCGGUGGCGAAGGCGGGUCUCUGGGCCGAUACUGACGCUGAGGAGCGAAAGCGUGGGGAGCGAACAGG